UAUGAUCAUCAAAUCCCGGGGAGAAGAAAGCCAUGUGCAGGUGCUAAGGAAAGUAUUUGAGAGACUCAGGAAAUAUCAGUUGAAACUGAACCCUGCCAAAUGCAUAUUCGGAGCUAGAUCUGGGAAAUUGUUGGGAUUCAUAGUGAGCGAGAAGGGAAUAGAAGUUGAUCCGGACAAAGUCCGAGCCAUUCAAGAGAUGCCAUCCCCAAAAACAGAAAGAGAGGUGCGCAGCUUCUUGGGGAAGUU
Molecule: unclassified non-coding RNA, 246 nt
Filed under: Hevea brasiliensis (rubber tree)
Lineage: Eukaryota; Viridiplantae; Streptophyta; Magnoliopsida; Malpighiales; Euphorbiaceae
Source: RNAcentral